UACGUAGGGUGCAAGCGUUAAUCGGAAUUACUGGGCGUAAAGCGUGCGCAGGCGGUUAUGCAAGACAGGUGUGAAAUCCCCGAGCUCAACUUGGGAACUGCAUUUGUGACUGCAAGGCUAGAGUACGGCAGAGGGGGAUGGAAUUCCGCGUGUAGCAGUGAAAUGCGUAGAUAUGCGGAGGAACACCAAUGGCGAAGGCAAUCCCCUGGGCCUGUACUGACGCUCAUGCACGAAAGCGUGGGGAGCAAACAGG
Molecule: ribosomal RNA, 253 nt
Filed under: uncultured bacterium
Lineage: Bacteria
Description: partial 16S ribosomal RNA
Rfam family: Bacterial small subunit ribosomal RNA
Source: RNAcentral